Phyllostomus hastatus (greater spear-nosed bat) is the source of this 394-nucleotide long non-coding RNA. RefSeq lists it as uncharacterized. The record is from RefSeq and is a predicted model, not a curated record. NCBI's taxonomy places the organism in Eukaryota, Metazoa, Chordata, Mammalia, Chiroptera, Phyllostomidae. The transcript is spliced from 3 exons.
GACCACAGCAACCUUGUUGACUCCCCACACCCUGCAGCGAGAGAGCCGGUGCAGUGCCACUUACCCUCCCCACCAGCAGCUGGCCAUGCCCUGAGAGUGGAUCCCUGUGGGCUCGAUUUACCCUAUAUCAGGGAAUAAUGGGGACCAGGUAUCUCUCAAGGAAAGACAAGGAAAAGACAGCAUGAAGAUGAUGGUGGGGCCCUGCUGUGUAUUACCAAUGAAGUUCUGCUGUAAACACAAAGCAUACAACCACCGCACAAGUGAACAGGAGACAUCAAAGCUUAGUGUUUUUGGACCACCGGACACAAAAAUGGCACUGAACUACCGAAAGGAAGACAUGGUCAACAUCUCCCACAACCGUCAGCCCCUAAAAGCAGCUCAACACAAAGGCAGC